UGGGGAAUAUUGGACAAUGGGCGAAAGCCUGAUCCAGCCAUGCCGCGUGUGUGAAGAAGGUCUUCGGAUUGUAAAGCACUUUAAGUUGGGAGGAAGGGCAGUAAGCGAAUACCUUGCUGUUUUGACGUCACCGACAGAAUAAGCACCGGCUAACUCUGUGCCAGCAGCCGCGGUAAUACAGAGGGUGCAAGCGUUAAUCGGAAUUACUGGGCGUAAAGCGCGCGUAGGUGGUUCGUUAAGUUGAAUGUGAAAGCCCCGGGCUCAACCUGGGAACUGCGUCCAAAACUGGCGAGCUAGAGGAGGGCAGAGGGUGGUGGAAUUUCCUGUGUAGCGGUGAAAUGCGUAGAUAUAGGAAGGAACACCAGUGUCGAAGGCGACCACCUGGGCUCAUACUGACACUGAGGUGCGAAAGCGUGGGGAGCAAACAGG
This 429-nucleotide ribosomal RNA is filed under the name Pseudomonadota bacterium. Its description in RNAcentral is "Proteobacteria bacterium partial 16S ribosomal RNA". It matches the Rfam family "Bacterial small subunit ribosomal RNA", at positions 355 to 776 of the family's 1533-position model. Lineage: Bacteria; Pseudomonadati; Pseudomonadota. The record is from RNAcentral.